UACGUAGGGACCGAGCGUUGUCCGGAUUCAUUGGGUGUAAAGGGUUCGUAGGCGGUGUGGCAAGUCGGGAGUGAAAUCUCUGGGCUCAACUCAGAGACUGCUUCCGAAACUGCUGUGCUGGAGUGUGGGAGAGGCGCGUGGAAUUGCAGGUGUAGCGGUGAAAUGCGUAGAUAUCUGCAGGAACACCCGUGGCGAAAGCGGCGCGCUGGACCACUACUGACGCUGAGGAACGAAAGCUAGGGGAGCAAACAGG
RNAcentral lists this ribosomal RNA (253 nucleotides) under uncultured bacterium. RNAcentral's name for it is "partial 16S ribosomal RNA". It matches the Rfam family "Bacterial small subunit ribosomal RNA", at positions 524 to 776 of the family's 1533-position model. The record is from RNAcentral.